AAAUGAAUAGACGGGGACCCGCACAAGCGGUGGAGCAUGUGGUUUAAUUCGACGAUAAGCGAGGAACCUUACCAAGUCUUGACAUGUAGCUGCAAGAUCUAGAAAUAGAUCCGCCUUCGAGGGUGCUACACAGGUGCUGCACGGUUGUCGUCAGCUCGUGCCGUGAGGUGUUCACUUAAGUGUGAAAACGAGCGCAACCCCUAUUACCAGUUACAAGUGUCUGGUGAAACUGCCGGCGUUUAAGCCGGAGGAAGGUGGGGAUGACGUCAAAUCAGCGUGGCUCUUACGACUUGGGCGACACACGUGCUACAAUGGAAUGGAACAAAGGGACGCCAAGGAGCAAUCCGGAGCAAAUCCAAUCAAAACAUUCCUCAGUUCGGAUUGAGGGCUGCAACUCGCCCUCAUGAAGCUGGAAUCGCUAGUAACCGUAGAUCAGCCUCGCUACGGUGAAUACGUUCUCGGGUUUUGUACACACCGCCCGU
Molecule: ribosomal RNA, 482 nt
Filed under: uncultured bacterium
Lineage: Bacteria
Description: bacterial SSU rRNA
Rfam family: Bacterial small subunit ribosomal RNA
Source: RNAcentral